ACACACAACACACGUACGCCGUGCAGAUACAAUCAGCUUAAUGCUUCGAAGGCCAAGGGCUAGCUAAGCUUCAAGUUCAUGAAAUUCAGGCAAUUAACUGCAUUCAACUAAUUUUUUAACUGAAACUAUAGGAGAACAGACAAAUUAUGGAACUGUCAGGAGAUAGUUAACGGUACAAAUUUUUAUUGAUAUAUGGCCAAAAUCAAAGAAGGGUGUUGGUAACCAACAUGUCAGAGGAGACCUCAAAACAGGAGCUGCUUAGGGUGGUGUGCACAACAUUUGGAGUGAAAGAAGAAGACAUUUUUCCUGCAGACAUGGCAAGACAAAUUCUACGAUUUUGCAGACAUGGAAGAGGACGAACUUGUGACAGGGCCAUUGAGAGUAAAAAUUACAAACUACCUGUGGUCCUCGGUGCACAGCAACUGGUGAAUGGUGGAGAGCACAUAGAGUGGAUGAGCACUGAAAAAAAGGCAGCCAGACUUCAAGAGAGUUGAGUUCUGCAUGCAGAAGACACUGGCAGACAGAAGGGCAUGGAUCAUAAAUUCUGUCCCUCGGCCAAGGAUCACUGAUGACCGACUGAAGUAUCCUUGGCUCUUUGAUGAGGAUCAGGUAAUCUAUGCAGAGUUUUCUCACCAGAUUUUGAAAUAUACUGAAUAUCCCGAGAUUGAUUGAAUGCUGACGGACGUUGAUAGAGUUGCUUACUCAAUGUUUCCCUAUUACAGUGAUUUACAGAAUGUAUUGGAAACUUCUAACUCCACAUGGAUUAUCCAAACUUGCUCAUAAACUUAAUUUAUUCAAGACUGCGUAAGGUGUGAACUUCAUAUGUGGUCCUUGUAUGUAAAAUUCAGGUUAUUUUCUUGUCAAAGCAAUAUCACCUAAACAGCUUGAGGUAUGGAUGUAAAAACUUGGUGUUUAACAUGUACCAUCAUUAGGAAGACGAUUUGAAUGGAUUUUGGAAUAUGUAGGUCAAAGGUCAAUUUGUGAAAUUUAUUUGUUUAAACACAUGGGCCCGUAUUCUGAUAGCAGGUUUAAUUUAACCCUAGUCUAAAGUUAACCCUAGUUUAAUUAAACCUCCUCUAAACCUCACCUCUGGUCCAGGUGUAGUUUAAUUAUUUUGGUAUUCUGAUAGCCGGGUUUAACUAAACCUGGGUUAAACCCGGGUUUAAAAUUCUUUUUGAAAAUAAUAACCCUCUUUUAACCAAGACUAGCACCUUUUUGGUAAAUUACUGCUGCAGGGGUGAUUGCAACAAAGUUGAAAAAAUGGCACUAAAGUCGUUUUUUCUUAAAAAAAUUGAUAUUAUGGAAACUAAUAACAACUAUUGUAGUGAAAGAAAAGCAUUCAUCACCCAUAUAUGGUAAGAAAUUUUCAUUUCAAUUAUAUUUAUUUUUGUUAAUUACUAAAACAUUUCAACCCCAAACCGAGUGACCUGCACAGUUUUUUGAGUAUCAGUCCCAUUUAUUUAUUUUCAUGUUUGUCAAAAUCUAAAUUGAAUAGAUUCCCCUCAACCACUCUAGACUAGAGUCUAGACCCUAGUCCUAGAUCUAAAACAAUAAGCUAAGAGGUCGACCUCUUUAUUCUAACUUUAAGUAAGGGAAUUUUUUUAUAACUUUUGAGAGUAGUCUUGGGUCUAAAUAGGCCUAUAGUUAGAUCUGGCCUAGGCCCAAUUGUUUGGAGGAGAAUUGAACAUAGUUUUUACUAACUAAGUUAGGCCUAGGCCUAUUUGAUUUUUUUUUACUUUCCUGAAGCAAAACAUAGUCUAGUGAGUUAGUGGAGCAACCAAGACUGAAGAUAAAUAUUGGUCUAGGCCUAGAACAGCAUUCAUGACUUAGGCUGGCUUAGCUUAGGGACAGGGAUAGAUUAUAGUACUAUUCUAAAGUAACCUUAGGCAUAGGCUAGAUCUAGUGGAAUGGAUCUGAUUUGUCUUAGACAAAAAGCUUUGAACAGUCUCUGUAUUGGUUGUUCCGCUGAAUUAUGACACUCUACGUUGGCCUCUCUCACCAAGGCAAUGUUAUAUGACAGUAAAAUGUCAGAAUUUUUAAAAUAAAUCCCCAGAAACAACGGUUAUUCCUGUCUACAGACAGUACAGUGUUAGAUCUGAUUAUCGCUGCAUUGCUUGCCAAGUAACUGGGCCUGGCUAAAUUUAGAAUUAGUCCAAGACAUCUCUCUACUCUUGUUGUAGGUCCAUAUCUGUUUCUUUGAAGAGUUUUUUAUUCAAACAUUUUUGGGGACUCGUUUAGGUUUCCAGAUCCAGGACUAGAAAACAGGCCCAAACCUAGACCAACAGCUCAGUCUUGACUAACCCAGGGAGCUCCCUGGGUUAAGUCUCGACUAGACUAGGCCUGGCCUAGAUUUAUGUAAGAAUUUAGAUCUAGGCCUAGGCCUAACGUUAGUCUGUGCUAUAUAUUCAUUCUAGAUUUCUAGCCUAGCCCUAACUGGCUGAUCUAGUCUACUGUAUGAUCUAGAAUAUCUAACGCUGGCCUAGAUCUAGACUAAAUAACUUAGACUAAAAGUUAAACCCUAUCUAGACCUAGAACUAGAUCUAUAUCAAUGUAAUACAUGUAAUAGGUCUAGAUCUAGAGAUUUGUAGACUCUCAACAUGCUCAAUGUAGAUUCUAAAUAAAUAAAAAAGUAAAUGUUGGCUAGUCUCGAGGCUAGUCUACAGUAGAUCUAAUCAUCUAACGUUAGGCCUUUAAAUAAAGUAGGCUGGAGAUCUAACGUUGGAUUAUUUCUAUUACUAGAUCUAAAGGAUCUAGACCUAGAUCUAAAGCUAGGGACUGUAGUGGGACUGUAGUUCGAGAUCUAAAGUUAGAGGUCUAGCAACCCCCUUAAAACUAGUACUAAGCCUACAGCUACAUGUUGUUCUCUGUGUAGCCAAACAACAGUUAGCAUUGUCUUAAUCUUAUUUUGGUUUGUGUAGUUACCGUACAAACACAUAUUUUGAUGAAUGAGAAAAUGUGCCUUGCAGAUUAUUUUACCUCAAGUCAAAACCUCGUGUUCUAAAUUUCAUGAGCAUACAUGUAGGCCUAUGUCAUAAAAUGAAGAAGCAGUUCAAUCCAUUAGAUGUGUUUACACAUUUAUUGAUUUAAUAUGCUGUCACCAUGGCAACACAGUUUCCAACACACACAAAUAUAUGUCUUGCAGAUCUAUACCUCAAAACCAAUGUGUGAGCCAACUUUUAUAAGAAUUAGUUGAAAACUAAUGAAGGAGUUCAGAUUUUCACCUAAUUUCAUUAUGUAAUAUGUUGUUACCAUGGCAACAUGAUUUCUCAUACAUACAAAAAUAUGUCUUGCACAUCUUCAACUUAAGACUAAUGUGUGUGCCAAAUUUUAUGAGCAUUGGCUGAAAAAAGAUGGGAGUUCGAACUACCAAAUUCUCACCUUAUUUUCUUUAUUUGAUAUGUUGUUACCAUGGCAACACGAUUUCUGAUACAGACAAAAAUAUAUCUUGGACAUCUUCACCUCAACAUUAAUGUAUGUGCCAAAUUUCAUGAGAAUUGGUUAAAAACUGAGGAAGUAGUUGGAACAGCAAGAUUUAUACAUAGUUUUUGCCAUAAUAUACCGUUACCAUGGCAACACAAUUUCCGACACAUGGAAAUAUGUGUCUUGCACAUCUUUACCUCAAAACCAAUGUGUGAGCCAACUUUCUUGAGAAUUGGUAGAAAACUGAUAAAAGUAUUUUAAACGGCAAAAUUUUUGCCAUAAUAUACUGUUUCCAUGGCAACACAAUUUCC
Long non-coding RNA from Lytechinus pictus (painted urchin), 3731 nucleotides. RefSeq lists it as uncharacterized. NCBI's taxonomy places the organism in Eukaryota, Metazoa, Echinodermata, Echinoidea, Temnopleuroida, Toxopneustidae. The transcript has 3 exons. The record is from RefSeq and is a predicted model, not a curated record.